AACGAACGCUGGCGGCAGGCCUAACACAUGCAAGUCGAGCGAGGACUUCGGUCCUAGCGGCGGACGGGUGAGUAACGCGUGGGAACGUGCCCUUUGCUUCGGAAUAGCCCUGGGAAACUGGGAGUAAUACCGGAUGAGCCCUUUGGGGGAAAGAUUUAUCGUCGAAGGAUCGGCCCGCGUUGGAUUAGGUAGUUGGUGGGGUAAUGGCCUACCAAGCCGACGCUCCAUAGCUGGUUUGAGAGGAUGAUCAGCCACACUGGGACUGAGACACGGCCCAGACUCCUACGGGAGGCAGCAGUGGGGAAUCUUAGACAAUGGGGGAAACCCUGAUCUAGCCAUGCCGCGUGAGCGAUGAAGGCCUUAGGGUUGUAAAGCUCUUUCAGCUGGGAAGAUAAUGACGGUACCAGCAGAAGAAGCCCCGGCUAACUCCGUG
RNAcentral lists this ribosomal RNA (433 nucleotides) under uncultured bacterium. RNAcentral describes it as "partial 16S ribosomal RNA". It matches the Rfam family "Bacterial small subunit ribosomal RNA", at positions 29 to 507 of the family's 1533-position model. The record is from RNAcentral.